RNAcentral lists this ribosomal RNA (468 nucleotides) under uncultured bacterium. Its description in RNAcentral is "partial 16S ribosomal RNA". It matches the Rfam family "Bacterial small subunit ribosomal RNA", at positions 28 to 507 of the family's 1533-position model. The record is from RNAcentral.
GACGAACGCUGGCGGCGUGCUUAACACAUGCAAGUCGAACGGAAAGGCCCUGCUUUUGUGGGGUGCUCGAGUGGCGAACGGGUGAGUAACACGUGAGUAACCUGCCCUUGACUUUGGGAUAACUUCAGGAAACUGGGGCUAAUACCGGAUAGGAGCUCCUGCUGAAUGGUGGGGGUUGGAAAGUUUCGGCGGUUGGGGAUGGACUCGCGGCUUAUCAGCUUGUUGGUGGGGUAGUGGCUUACCAAGGCUUUGACGGGUAGCCGGCCUGAGAGGGUGACCGGCCACAUUGGGACUGAGAUACGGCCCAGACUCCUGCGGGAGGCAGCAGUGGGGAAUAUUGCACAAUGGGCGGAAGCCUGAUGCAGCAACGCCGCGUGCGGGAUGACGGCCUUCGGGUUGUAAACCGCUUUCGCCUGUGACGAAGCGUGAGUGACGGUAAUGGGUAAAGAAGCACCGGCUAACUACGUG